AAUUCUCAAUAAAAUAUGAACAUGUGGUUGAUACCUCAUCAUCGUUAUUCAAAUAAUUGGCAACAAGAGGGAGAUCCAAGGCAACCACAUUUUAAACACAAUGUCAAGUGAAAUAUUAGCUUGUUUUAAUACAAUUAUUUUCAAUAAAAAUAUGAAUAUGCGGUUUACUCUGAUCAAGUACAUUAAUAAUACCUCAUGAUUAUUCAAAUUGUUGGCAAGGACAACAAGGAGGAGUUCCAAAGCAACCAUGUCAAGUAAACCAUUAGCUUACUCCAAACCAUAUAGUUGAAACAAAUUAAAGACAUGUGGCUGAUACCUCAUCAUCGUUAUUCAAAU
This 336-nucleotide long non-coding RNA is filed under the name Brassica napus (rape). Its description in RNAcentral is "long non-coding RNA (BNAP_LNC005952)". Lineage: Eukaryota; Viridiplantae; Streptophyta; Magnoliopsida; Brassicales; Brassicaceae. The record is from RNAcentral.